AGUGAACGCUGGCGGUAGGCCUAACACAUGCAAGUCGAACGGCAGCACAGUAAGAGCUUGCUCUUACGGGUGGCGAGUGGCGGACGGGUGAGGAAUACAUCGGAAUCUACUUUUUCGUGGGGGAUAACGUAGGGAAACUUACGCUAAUACCGCAUACGACCUACGGGUGAAAGCAGGGGAUCUUCGGACCUUGCGCGAUUGAAUGAGCCGAUGUCGGAUUAGCUAGUUGGCGGGGUAAAGGCCCACCAAGGCGACGAUCCGCAGCUGGUCUGAGAGGAUGAUCAGCCACACUGGAACUGAGACACGGUCCAGACUCCUACGGGAGGCAGCAGUGGGGAAUAUUGGACAAUGGGCGCAAGCCUGAUCCAGCUAUACCGCGUGGGUGAAGAAGGCCUUCGGGUUGUAAAGCCCUUUUGUUGGGAAAGAAAAGCAGCAGGUUAAUACCCCGCUGUUCUGACGGUACCCAAAGAAUAAGCACCGGCUAACUUCGUG
This 492-nucleotide ribosomal RNA is filed under the name uncultured bacterium. Its description in RNAcentral is "partial 16S ribosomal RNA". It matches the Rfam family "Bacterial small subunit ribosomal RNA", at positions 29 to 507 of the family's 1533-position model. The record is from RNAcentral.